CAGAGUAUGUCCACCAUAUAAAGUAAAUAAUAUCACAUAUCUUGUCUAUAUGUUUCAUCCAUACUAAUCAUGUAUAAAAUAGAGAGCAGAUAUAUAUUGCAUACAACCUAUCAUCUCUCAAAAAAUCAAUAGUGCACAAGCGCCCUCAACUGAUGAGGGUAUACAUCGGGAGGAUAGGUACGGACGAUCUCCUCCUCUAUUAUAUCUUCCCUCUUGUACUAAUCCUUCUUCAACCUCCCCUUAUAUUCUCUAUAUUUGUGAUUGAGG
Molecule: long non-coding RNA, 267 nt
Filed under: Elaeis guineensis (African oil palm)
Lineage: Eukaryota; Viridiplantae; Streptophyta; Magnoliopsida; Arecales; Arecaceae
Description: long non-coding RNA (EGUI_LNC042539)
Source: RNAcentral